Molecule: ribosomal RNA, 462 nt
Filed under: Phyllobacterium sp. S5.CEL.016
Lineage: Bacteria; Pseudomonadati; Pseudomonadota; Alphaproteobacteria; Hyphomicrobiales; Phyllobacteriaceae
Description: bacterial SSU rRNA
Rfam family: Bacterial small subunit ribosomal RNA
Source: RNAcentral
CUGGCUCAGAACGAACGCUGGCGGCAGGCUUAACACAUGCAAGUCGAGCGCCCCGCAAGGGGAGCGGCAGACGGGUGAGUAACGCGUGGGAAUCUACCCAUCUCUACGGAAUAACGCAUGGAAACGUGUGCUAAUACCGUAUACGUCCUUCGGGAGAAAGAUUUAUCGGAGAUGGAUGAGCCCGCGUUGGAUUAGCUAGUUGGUGGGGUAAAGGCCUACCAAGGCGACGAUCCAUAGCUGGUCUGAGAGGAUGAUCAGCCACACUGGGACUGAGACACGGCCCAGACUCCUACGGGAGGCAGCAGUGGGGAAUAUUGGACAAUGGGCGCAAGCCUGAUCCAGCCAUGCCGCGUGAGUGAUGAAGGCCCUAGGGUUGUAAAGCUCUUUCACCGGUGAAGAUAAUGACGGUAACCGGAGAAGAAGCCCCGGCUAACUUCGUGCCAGCAGCCGCGGUAAUACGAA